UAACUUAUCAGAAGCCAGUUGAUAGUUUGAAUCUGGAGACUCUACAUUGUCUUGAUGAAGCAUUUCAGAAUCUGCAGAUAUGUGGUUGUCUAUAUCCUGUUCAUGAAACAAACCUGAAUCAGUUACACCCUUUUCUGAUCCAAUAUCCAGAGAAAAGUUCGAAUCCACAGAAAACUCAGUCAUUGUAGGUCCAUUUUGAUCAACAAAACUUGGCAUAACUGCAGAUAACUCCUCUGCAGUAUCAUCUAUAUCUUCAGAUUUCUCGGACCUCAUUUCAUUUUUGACUUCCACAUGCAGUUCGGAAGAGGCUGCUUGAAUUUUCUCAUGAUUAGAAG
This 335-nucleotide long non-coding RNA is filed under the name Medicago truncatula (barrel medic). RNAcentral describes it as "long non-coding RNA (MTRU_LNC005431)". Lineage: Eukaryota; Viridiplantae; Streptophyta; Magnoliopsida; Fabales; Fabaceae. The record is from RNAcentral.